UCCGGUGUAGCUCAAUGGUAGAGCGCCCGCCUGUUAAGCGGGUGGUUGGAGGUUCGAUUCCUCCCGCCGGAGCCG
Molecule: transfer RNA, 75 nt
Filed under: Sorangium cellulosum So ce56
Lineage: Bacteria; Pseudomonadati; Myxococcota; Polyangiales; Polyangiaceae
Description: sce_20050509_32
Rfam family: tRNA
About the family: Transfer RNA (tRNA) molecules are approximately 80 nucleotides in length.
Source: RNAcentral